Molecule: ribosomal RNA, 488 nt
Filed under: uncultured Eubacteriales bacterium
Lineage: Bacteria; Bacillati; Bacillota; Clostridia; Eubacteriales
Description: bacterial SSU rRNA
Rfam family: Bacterial small subunit ribosomal RNA
Source: RNAcentral
AGAGUUUGAUCCUGGCUCAGGAUGAACGCUGGCGGCGUGCUUAACACAUGCAAGUCGAACGGACCCAUAUUGAAACCUGGUGAUAUAUGGGUUAGUGGCGGACGGGUGAGUAACGCGUGGGCAACCUGCCUUACACAGGGGGAUAACACUUAGAAAUAGGUGCUAAAACCGCAUAAGCGCACAGCUUCGCAUGAAGCGGUGUGAAAAACUCCGGUGGUGUAAGAUGGACCCGCGUCUGAUUAGCUUGUUGGCGGGGUAACGGCCCACCAAGGCGACGAUCAGUAGCCGGCCUGAGAGGGUGGACGGCCACAUUGGGACUGAGACACGGCCCAGACUCCUACGGGAGGCAGCAGUGGGGAAUAUUGCACAAUGGGGGAAACCCUGAUGCAGCGACGCCGCGUGAGUGAAGAAGUAAUUCGUUACGUAAAGCUCUAUCAGCAGGGAAGAAAAUGACGGUACCUGAGUAAGAAGCCCCGGCUAACUACGUG